UUUGAGGCGCAUCAUGACUAGCUCCGUCACUGUUGGAACUAUGUUGUUGGAAAUGCCUCAAAGAGCAAAACUGUGGUUUCGCUUUACCCACAUGUUCAUUUCAAUUGAGCUAUGUGGGAUACAGCCACAGGAAAUUU
Small nucleolar RNA from Synchiropus splendidus (mandarinfish), 137 nucleotides. The record is from RefSeq and is a predicted model, not a curated record. Lineage: Eukaryota; Metazoa; Chordata; Actinopteri; Syngnathiformes; Callionymidae.